GUACCAGACUCCUACGGGAGGCAGCAGUGAGGAAUAUUGGUCAAUGGGCGCGAGCCUGAACCAGCCAAGUCGCGUGAGGGAGGACGGCCCUACGGGUUGUAAACCUCUUUUGCCGGGGAGCAACGGGCGCCGCGUGUGGCGUCACUGAGAGUACCCGGAGAAAAAGCAUCGGCUAACUCCGUGCCAGCAGCCGCGGUAAUACGGAGGAUGCGAGCGUUAUCCGGAUUUAUUGGGUUUAAAGGGUGCGUAGGCGGAUCGUUAAGUCAGUGGUCAAAUUGAGGGGCUCAACCCCGGCCUGCCGUCGGAACUGGGUGCCUUGAGUGGGCGCGAAGUAUGCGGAAUGCGUGGUGUAGCGGUGAAAUGCAUAGAUAUCACGCAGAACCCCGAUUGCGAAGGCAGCAUACCGGCGCCCAACUGACGCUCAGGCACGAAAGCGUGGGUAUCGAACAGGAUUAGAUACCCCCGUACA
RNAcentral lists this ribosomal RNA (469 nucleotides) under uncultured bacterium. RNAcentral describes it as "bacterial SSU rRNA". It matches the Rfam family "Bacterial small subunit ribosomal RNA", at positions 328 to 794 of the family's 1533-position model. The record is from RNAcentral.